UGGGGCUGCUUCUGAGGAAUCAGCUUGACUGGCCAGCAAGUUCAGCUCCGGCAAGUCAUUUGAUUCACCCGGUGAUGAAAUGGGGGUCAACCAGUCUGUGGGCUUUCCGCCUGUCACAGGACCCCACCUCGUAGGCUGUGGGGAUGUGAUGGAGGGUCAGAAUCUCCAGGACUUUGUAUUCAGCCUUCUGCAUGGAGCUGGCCUCACGUGGCUUUGUGGUUGCUGUGCCAGAGCACAGGGACCGGUCAGCGGCAACCACCUAUUUCUGCAAGCAGGCCCCAGAAGAGAACCAGCCCACCAAUGAAUUGCUGCAAGAGGAAUGGAUCCCUUUCCGUCGAGUUGAGGAAGGGGAGAAGGAAUUUCAUGUUCGGAAUCCCCAGGUGCAUCAGCGGGUAAGCGAGUGUUUACGGGUGUUGAAGAUCCUGCAAGAGGUCACUGCUGGGCAGACUGUCUUCAACAUCUUGCCUGGUGGCUUGGAUCUGAUGACUUUGAAG
RNAcentral lists this small RNA (494 nucleotides) under Pan troglodytes (chimpanzee). RNAcentral describes it as "processed transcript". The record is from RNAcentral. Lineage: Eukaryota; Metazoa; Chordata; Mammalia; Primates; Hominidae.